UACGAAGGUUGCAAGCGUUACUCGGAAUUACUAGGCGUAAAGGGUAGGUAGGUGGUUUGGUAAGUCUAUUGUGAAAGCUCCCGGCUCAACUGGGAGAGGCCAAUGGAUACUACCAGGCUUGAGUAUAGGAGAGGUUACUGGAAUUCCCGGUGUAGCGGUGAAAUGCGCAGAUAUCGGGAGGAACACCAAUGGCGAAAGCAGGUAACUGGACUAUUACUGACACUCAACUACGAAAGCUAGGGGAGCAAACAGG
This 253-nucleotide ribosomal RNA is filed under the name uncultured bacterium. RNAcentral's name for it is "partial 16S ribosomal RNA". It matches the Rfam family "Bacterial small subunit ribosomal RNA", at positions 524 to 776 of the family's 1533-position model. The record is from RNAcentral.